RNAcentral lists this ribosomal RNA (460 nucleotides) under uncultured bacterium. Its description in RNAcentral is "partial 16S ribosomal RNA". It matches the Rfam family "Bacterial small subunit ribosomal RNA", at positions 338 to 795 of the family's 1533-position model. The record is from RNAcentral.
CCUACGGGGUGCAGCAGUGAGGAAUAUUGGUCAAUGGACGAGAGUCUGAACCAGCCAAGUAGCGUGAAGGAUGACUGCCCUAUGGGUUGUAAACUUCUUUUAUAUGGGAAUAAAAUGUUCCACGUGUGGGAUUUUGUAUGUACCAUAUGAAUAAGGAUCGGCUAACUCCGUGCCAGCAGCCGCGGUAAUACGGAGGAUCCGAGCGUUAUCCGGAUUUAUUGGGUUUAAAGGGAGCGUAGGUGGAAUGUUAAGUCAGUUGUGAAAGUUUGCGGCUCAACCGUAAAAUUGCAGUUGAAACUGGCAGUCUUGAGUACAGUAGAGGUGGGCGGAAUUCGUGGUGUAGCGGUGAAAUGCUUAGAUAUCACGAAGAACUCCGAUUGCGAAGGCAGUUCACUGGACUGCAACUGACACUGAGGCUCGAAAGUGUGGGUAUCAAACAGGAUUAGAUACCCGUGUAGUC